RNAcentral lists this long non-coding RNA (570 nucleotides) under Dromaius novaehollandiae (emu). Its description in RNAcentral is "lncRNA (ENSDNVG00000004001.1)". Lineage: Eukaryota; Metazoa; Chordata; Aves; Casuariiformes; Dromaiidae. The record is from RNAcentral.
CCGAGAAGAAGGUGCUGCAAAAAUUGGAUCUGCCUAUCGACAGAGGGGAAUAUCCUGCCUCGUCACCCACAUGGAAGCCAAAGCCACUAUGAAGAACUUCCUUCUGAACAGUGCCCCAGUGAGCGGAUCGGUUACAGAAAGAAAUGUUUUUUCAUCUCCGAAGAGGAGAAAAACUGGACAUCUAGUCAGACCUUCUGUGCUAAGGAUGGAUCUUUGCUUGCUGUUUUUGAAAACCAGCAAGAAAUGGUAAUGGGAUAAGAAAACAAAACAGAACUUCCAUGUCUCUCUCUUCCUUUGACCGUGAUCUACAUCUAUCUCAAUUUUUCAUGCAAUGCUUUGCCUUUAAAUCUUUGUAAAAUAACCAAGUUAUGUGAAUUCAGGUAGUGAAAAGUACUGGAUUUGUCGAUGUACAUAGCUGGUUGGCUGUCUGGCUGCAGCAAGUGCAACAGCAGUGCAAGCUUCCCCAUACUGCUUUUGCACCUCGAUUUGACUUGAAUAACUAUGGAAAGCUCUUUUUAUGAACUGAAUCUUUUGCCUAGUUUUCUUUUUCUGUCCUAUGGAACUUUUUCU